AAUAAGUGUUAAUUAUAUUAGUGCUUGAAGAUUAAACCACUUCCCGCUCUCCUGGAAUUUAAGACUACAUUA
This 72-nucleotide small nucleolar RNA is filed under the name Drosophila simulans. RNAcentral describes it as "snoRNA:GD26447". The record is from RNAcentral. Lineage: Eukaryota; Metazoa; Arthropoda; Insecta; Diptera; Drosophilidae.